UGGACAGACUAUAAUCUUCUUUGGCAAUCUAUGACAAGGAUAUGGCAAGUCCUUUCAGGAAAUUCUUUCACAUCUGCAUACCCCAUGCUCUAUAUUAUGACAAGAUUCUUCAGGCCUCAGGGAAAAUGGCUUGGUAUGAGGCCACUAGGGAAGGAGGACCAUGGUGCCCUCUAAGCUCAGCAAAAAGCACAAGUCCUGGAACAUGCUAUUGAACUGUCCUAGAGUUGGAAGGAGGAAGAUAAAACAGAUUCCUGCUGUCUGCACCUUAGGUGGAGUUGCGGCCCACUGUUCCCCUCUGACUCAUUUCCUGUUUCUCGAUGCCUACUGUGCAGCGAUACUGGAAAUGUCAGCCACCCAGCUACCUGACUGGAGGGACUGUUGUUCCCAUUUUCCCUUAUACAAUGAAGAAUUAACUGUUCGGGUACUGUCACCUGCCUUCUUCAGCACACUUUCUAACACAGAAGGGGAAUUUUAAUAAGAUCUCCAAGGGGUCUGUUGCCAUUUUUAGAGCAAAGAUUCCCUAUAAAGGAAGUGCAUUGAAACUCCCAAGAGAAAGCUGUUGAAAACGCCCCCGAGAGGAACCAGUGUCAUCCCAUUUUAUUGUCUACCUGUCACCACAGCC
RNAcentral lists this long non-coding RNA (622 nucleotides) under Fukomys damarensis (Damara mole-rat). RNAcentral's name for it is "lncRNA (ENSFDAG00000025972.1)". The record is from RNAcentral. Lineage: Eukaryota; Metazoa; Chordata; Mammalia; Rodentia; Bathyergidae.